Non-coding RNA from Podarcis lilfordi (Lilford's wall lizard), 138 nucleotides. The record is from the annotation of a GenBank genome assembly. NCBI's taxonomy places the organism in Eukaryota, Metazoa, Chordata, Lepidosauria, Squamata, Lacertidae.
UGUCCAGUAGCACCUUAGAGACCAACUAAGUUUGUUCUUGGUAUAUGCUUUUGUGUGCAAAAGCGUGAAGAAGUGUGUAUGCACACAAAAGCUUAUACCAAGAACAAACUUAGUUGGUCUCUAAGGUGCUACUGGACA